RNAcentral lists this long non-coding RNA (484 nucleotides) under Sorghum bicolor (sorghum). RNAcentral describes it as "long non-coding RNA (SBIC_LNC004398)". Lineage: Eukaryota; Viridiplantae; Streptophyta; Magnoliopsida; Poales; Poaceae. The record is from RNAcentral.
AAUGGUGUAUGCCUUCUCUCAAAGUAUAUGGUAUUUUUGGUAUGAGGCAUAGUGGCAUUGCCUUCUCUCACCCUACUCUAAUAAGGUUUUGAUAUCUGGAGCUCAUAGGUGGGAGACAGCUAAUACAUACUUACAAGACAUUUAUUGCAUAGUCAAACCAUGGAUCCAAAGAAACAAGUCAAUAAGUCAAAUCAAGAUGUGCAUGUGUGGCGAAUGAAUGGUGUAUGGUGAUAAUGAUGAUAACAAUGGUGAAAGUCUAAUUCUACUUUUGCUCUUUUGAGGGAUACAUACCUUUCUUGCUCUUUUGAAACUUUUUGAGGAGAAUGAGAUGCUCUAUAUUUUCUUUUUCUUUUCUCUCAGGUGGGUAUCUUGUACCCCUAAUUCUACUGUCGGACACUUGUCCAUUUUUACCUCUCGUCUCACCUUUUCUUUUCUUUCGAGGUUCCGGGCACUUGCCCCUUUUUAUUUCCUCGUAUCUCUCCCU